GCCUAGCCGUAAACAAUUAACUUACACUAACAAACGCCAGGGAACUACGAGCUAUGCUUAAAACCCAAAGGACUUGACGGUGUCCCAUACCCACUAGAGGAGCCUGUUCUAUAAUCGAUGAUCCCCGCUAUACCUAACCAUCCCUUGCUUUAUCAGCCUGUAUACCUCCGUCAUAAGCCUACCAUGUGAACGUCAACAGUGGGCCCAACGGUUCAUAUAAACCAACAUGCCAGGUCAAGGUGCAGCUCACGGAAUGGUAAGUAAUGGGCUACAAUUUCUAAUCUAGAACAAACGGAAGGUUAUGUGAAAUCAUAACAUAAAGGUGGAUUUAGUAGUAAAAAGAAAAUAGAGUGUUCUUUUUAACCCGGCCCUGGGACACGUACACACCGCC
RNAcentral lists this ribosomal RNA (391 nucleotides) under Amolops wuyiensis (Sanchiang sucker frog). RNAcentral's name for it is "partial 12S ribosomal RNA". It matches the Rfam family "Bacterial small subunit ribosomal RNA", at positions 794 to 1394 of the family's 1533-position model. Lineage: Eukaryota; Metazoa; Chordata; Amphibia; Anura; Ranidae. The record is from RNAcentral.